CCGCCACCGUCACAGCCAUGGCGGCCACCGAGGGGACACCGGCGGGGACACCACCGGGGACCCUGGGGACACCGGGGACCUUGGGGACACCACCGGGGACCUUGGGGACAGCGGGGACCUUGGGGACACCACCGGGGACCUUGGGGACACCACCGGGGACACUGGCGGGGAUCUUGGGGACAGCGGGGACACCACCGGGGACCUUGGGGACACCACCGGGGACCUUGGGGACAGCGGGGACCUUGGGGACACCACCGGGGACACCGGGAACACCGGGGACAGCGGGGACACCACCGGGAAUCUUGGGGACACCGGGGACAGCGGGGACACCCCCGGGGAUCUUGGGGACACCGGGGACAGCACCGGGGACCUUGGGGACACCAGGGGGGUCACCUGGGCCACCUGACCCCCCGCUGGUGUCCUCGGUGCUGUCCCCGGUGUCCCCUGACCCCCCUGGGGUGUCCCCGGAGGUGUCCCCGGGGGUGUCCCCGCUGUCCCCGGAGGUGUCCCCGGGGGUGUCCCCGGAGCCGUUCGUGCCACCCCUGGACUGCGGCGGUGAUGACGCUCAGGCCGCGGGGCGGGAGCUGCCCCUGGUCCUGCGCCAGAUUUUGGCCGCCUGCGCUCUUCCCGAACUUUUGGAGUCUCCCGCUCUCCCCGAGGCCGUGCGGGACCGGGCCCGGAGCAUCCUGCGGGAAAUGGAUUCCGGGAAUAUCGGGGGAUACAACCACGAGCACCGAUCCCACGGCGUUCCCGGCAGGAUCUCCCGGUUCCUGGAAUUCCGGGAUGGAUUCCCCUGCCAUCCCGGGAACAUCAUCCUGUGCAGCGGCACCGCCACCAUGAUCCCGUUCGUGCUGUCUCUGUUCUCGCUGCCUCCCCCGGCCCUUCCCGCGGGGGUUCUGGUACCGGUUCCGGGCCCGCCGGUUCUCCGGGAGGCCGCGCUGCUGGCGGGGGCGGUUCCGGUUCCGUACGCGCUCUCCGAGCCCCGGGGUUGGGUCCCGGACGAGGCCGCGCUGCUCCGGGAGCUGCGGGGGGCGCGGGGCCGGUGCCGCCCGCGGGUUCUGUGCGUGGUCAAUCCCGGGGACCCCACCGGCCAGGUGCUGAGCCGGGAGCUCCUGGCGGGGCUCGCGCGCCUGGCGGCCGAGGAGGGGCUGCUGCUGCUGGGCCACGAGGUGCAGCAGGAGCGAGCCUUUGAUCCCGAGCGUCCGUUCCUGUCCCUGCGGCGAGUCCUGGCCCAGCUGGGGCCACCCCUGGCCACGAGCGUCCAACUGAUCUCCUUCCACUCCCUGCGGAGCGGAUUCCGGGUGGGAUUCCUGGAGCUGGUGAACGUGGAGCCGCGGCUCCGGCGGCCGUUCCAGCUGGCUCAAUCCAUCCCCCGGCCCUGCGUUCCCGGCCGGAUCCUGCUGGAUCUGCUCCUGGAGCCGCCGGAUCAGCGGGAUCCCAUCCGCAGGGAGCUGGAAAAGCACCGCCGGGAUCUGCUCCAGGACCUGGCCUCCAACGCCCGGCUGCUGCAGCGGGAGCUCGGCCGCGCCCCCGGGAUCCGCUGCCACCCCCCGGCCGCGGGACCCCGCGCGUUCCCCCGGCUCCGGAUCCCCGAACGGGCCCGGAACCGAGCCAGGGCUGUCGCUGCUGCUGCCGCCGCCGGCUCUGGAGCGAGCGCUGCUGCUCCUGCGCCGCUUCCACGCCCAAUUCCUGCGGGAAUUCUCCUGAGCCGGAACCUUCCGGAAGCCGAAUUCCCACCGGGAUUCCCCGGGACCUGGAAAAACUUGGGAAUUCCGACAAAAUUCCUGAUUUUAUUUUGAGUCUCGUGUGGGAUUUGGGUUUUGGGAAUUUGGGAAUCUGGGAUUGGAUUUUUGGGGAAUCUGGGAUUGGAUUUGGGAAUUCUUUGGGGAAUUUUUGGGAAUCUUGAAUUCCCAAAAAUUUGAUUUGGGAAUUCAGGAUUGGAUUCUUUUGGAUUUGCAAUUUUUUUGGAAAUCUGGGGUUGAAUUUUUGGGAAUUUUCUGGGGAUCGUUGGGAAUUCAGGAUGGGGUUUUUUGGAUUUGCAACUUUUUGGAAUCUGGGAUUGGAUUUUUGGGAAUUCCAACAAAAUUCCUGAUUUUAUUUUGAGUCUCAUGUGGGAUUUGGGGUCCGGGAGUGGAUUUGGGAAUUUUUUUGGGAAUUUUUGGGAAUUCAUGAUUAGAUUUUUUUUUGGAUUUGCAAUUUUUUUGGGGAUCUGGGAAUUUUGGGAAUCUGGGGUUGGAUUUUUGGGAAUUUGGGAAUCUGGGAUUGGAUUUUUGGGAAUUCUGACAAAAUUCCUGAUUUUUUUUGAGUCUUGUGUGGGAUUUGGGAAUCUGGGAAUUUAUUUGGCAACUUUUGGGAAUUCAGGAUUGGAUUUGGGAAUUCAGGAUCAGAUUUUUUGGGUUUGCGUUUUUUUAGGGAAUCUGGGGUUGGAUUUUUGGGGAAUCCGGGAGCGGAUUUGGGAAUUUUUUUGGGAAUUUUUGGGAAUCUGAAUUCCCAAAAAUUUGAUUUGGGAAUUCAGGAUUGGAUUCUUUUGAAUUUGCAAUUUUUUUGGAAAUCUGGGAAUUCUGGGAAUCUGGGGUUGGAGUUUUUGGAAAUUUUUUGGGAACCUGGGGUUGGAUUUUUGGGAAUUCUGGGAUUUGGAUUUAGGAAAUUUUAGGGAAUUUGGGGGAAAUUGGGGAAUUCUGGAAAAAAUUUGGGAAAUUUUAAGGAAAUUUGACAGAAAAUGGGGAAAAAAUUGGGGGAAAAUUUGGAUUUUGGGAGCUUGGGAAAGAGAUUGAGAAUCUGGGAUUGGGAAUUUGGGAAUUCCAACAAAAUUCCAGAUUUUAUUUUGAAUCUCAUGGAUUUGGGGGCUGGGAUUGGAUUUUUUGGGAAUUUGGGAAUCUGGGACUGGAUUUUAAUGGUUUGGGAUUGGGAAUUUGGGAAACUGGGAUGGGAUUUUGGAAUUUUUUUUUGGAAUUUUGGGAUUUUUGAUAAAAUUGAGGGAUCAAAUCCCCUUUUCCAGGAACUCCAAAUAUUUCUUCCGGGACCAGAUUUCCUUUUCCGGGGAUCAAAUCCAAAUUUUUGGGAAUAAAAUUCCUUUUUCAAAUAAAAAAGUCUUUUUUUUCCAGGGAUAAAUCAAAUUUCCAGGACCAAAUUCUUAAAGAAAUCCAAGGAUUUCUCCAGUUUUUUUU
Molecule: RNA transcript, 3167 nt
Organism: Poecile atricapillus (Black-capped chickadee)
Lineage: Eukaryota; Metazoa; Chordata; Aves; Passeriformes; Paridae
Gene name: alanine aminotransferase 1-like
Exons: 11
Source: RefSeq, a predicted model, not a curated record